UACGUAGGACGCAAACGUUGUCCGGAUUUACUGGGUGUAAAGGGUGCUCAGGCGGUCUUGUAAGUCAGUGGUGAAAUCCCGGAGCUCAACUCCGGAACUGCCUUUGAUACUACAAGGCUUGAGUAUGGAAGAGGUGGAUGGAAUUUCUGGUGUAGCAGUGAAAUGCGUAGAUAUCAGAAAGAACACCAGUGGCGAAGGCGGUCUACUGGUCCAUUACUGACGCUAAAGCACGAAAGCAUGGGGAGCAAACAGG
Molecule: ribosomal RNA, 253 nt
Filed under: uncultured bacterium
Lineage: Bacteria
Description: partial 16S ribosomal RNA
Rfam family: Bacterial small subunit ribosomal RNA
Source: RNAcentral